RNAcentral lists this ribosomal RNA (478 nucleotides) under uncultured bacterium. Its description in RNAcentral is "partial 16S ribosomal RNA". It matches the Rfam family "Bacterial small subunit ribosomal RNA", at positions 28 to 507 of the family's 1533-position model. The record is from RNAcentral.
GAUGAACGCUGGCGGCGUGCUUAACACAUGCAAGUCGAACGGGAAACCUUUUAUUGAAGCUUCGGCGGCUUUAGCUGGUUUCUAGUGGCGGACGGGUGAGUAACGCGUGGGUAACCUGCCUUAUACAGGGGGAUAACAACCAGAAAUGGUUGCUAAUACCGCAUAAGCGCACAGGACCGCAUGGUCCGGUGUGAAAAACUCCGGUGGUAUAAGAGGGACCCGCGUUGGAUUAGCUAGUUGGCAGGGUAACGGCCUACCAAGGCGACGAUCCAUAGCCGGCCUGAGAGGGUGAACCGCCACAUUGAGGCGGGGACACGGCCCAGAAUCCUACGGGAGGCAGCAGUGGGGAAUAUUGCACAAUCGGGGAAACCCUGAUGGAGCGACGCCGCGUGAAGGAAGAAGUAUCUCAGUAUGUAAACUUCUAUAAGCAGGGAAGAUAGUGACGGUACCUGACGAAGAAGCCCCGGCUAACUACGUG